Rhinolophus ferrumequinum (greater horseshoe bat) is the source of this 427-nucleotide long non-coding RNA. RefSeq lists it as uncharacterized. The transcript has 3 exons. Lineage: Eukaryota; Metazoa; Chordata; Mammalia; Chiroptera; Rhinolophidae. The record is from RefSeq and is a predicted model, not a curated record.
UGCGUGAGAGCCACGGACCACAUUCACGGGAGAGCCAGGAGGGAGAGUGAGAGCCGCCAGGAUGUUUACCCCCGACCAGAGGUGGAGUUUGUUUUGAGAGAGCUUUGCUUCCCUCGGGAUUUGCCGUGGAGACACUGCUGCUCUGGGGACAGCACCGACGUCCUUCUGUACCUGCUUCUUUCAGUGUUUCCCAGAGAAAUGCUGGACAAGGGAGGAAAAGGUUCUACGGCUUCGAAGACAAGGCGGAACAUGCUUCUGUACCGGCUUUACCUCAGUAUCUCCCCAGGAAGUGUGGACAAAGAGGGAAAAGGUCAUCCACGUUACCCAAGGCACUAAUGCAGUCUCCCCACAGAGCGUCUUACUCCAUGGGUGAUUAGCUUCACCUCCUUGGGAGAACUAGGUCUGCUGGGGCUUGUGCUCUGUAACA